UUUGAUUCAUGUGUUUGCGUGAACUUUCCAGGAACUGUUUUGUGAUUUGUUGUUACAGUUAAUGUAGAUAUCAGAAAAGAUGCUUUGUCAUGUUAGGUGGCACCUGAAUGUCAAACAACAGUUAUACAAGGACUUGCAAUUAAUUUUCCCUUAAAAGUGAUGUAUUGUGUGCAUUUUACUUGUCAUGAAUAAAGUUCUUACCGAUUUUUUUUUUUCCCGCUUCUUUUUCAAGACGACUUUUAAUGCACUUGCAACACCUGUAAGAAGUAAACAAAAGUCAUUGGAACUUCCUAAGGAGGAAAAGAAGAAGAAGAAAGCUGCAACAGGUGGAAAGAAGACUAAACAUGAGAAACUAGAAAAGCUUGAGGCUCUUAGCAAAAGGCUACGGCUUUGCAUUAUGAGGCGAGUAAAACAUCAGAGGCAUCUCAGUUCAUGAUUUCCCUUGUAACAUAGAAAGGUGUUUAUAACUGUAAUGUCCCAUUCAUUUAGAGUUUUACUUUGUUAUACUGACCCAUGUUGGUUUAAAGGCAUAAGUUCUGUUUACGAUCUCCCGUUCCAGUUCGAUGUCAGAUUGGC
Molecule: long non-coding RNA, 576 nt
Filed under: Citrus x clementina
Lineage: Eukaryota; Viridiplantae; Streptophyta; Magnoliopsida; Sapindales; Rutaceae
Description: Citrus clementina (C. clementina) long non-coding RNA (CCLE_LNC005781)
Source: RNAcentral